Molecule: ribosomal RNA, 481 nt
Filed under: uncultured bacterium
Lineage: Bacteria
Description: partial 16S ribosomal RNA
Rfam family: Bacterial small subunit ribosomal RNA
Source: RNAcentral
AUUGAACGCUGGCGGCAUGCCUUACACAUGCAAGUCGAACGGUAACAGGUCUUCGGAUGCUGACGAGUGGCGAACGGGUGAGUAAUACAUCGGAACGUGCCCGAUCGUGGGGGAUAACGAGGCGAAAGCUUUGCUAAUACCGCAUACGAUCUACGGAUGAAAGCGGGGGAUCUUCGGACCUCGCGCGGACGGAGCGGCCGAUGGCAGAUUAGGUAGUUGGUGGGAUAAAAGCUUACCAAGCCGACGAUCUGUAGCUGGUCUGAGAGGAUGAUCAGCCACACGGGGACUGAGACACGGCCCAGAUUCCAACGGGAGGCAGCAGUGGGAAAUUUUGGACAAUGGGCGAAAGCUUGAUCCAGCCAUGCCGGGUGCAGGAUGAGGGCCUUCGGGUUUUAAACUGUUUUUUUACGGAACAAAAAGCCUCUUUUUAAAAAAGGGGGGUAAGGAGGGUACCGAAAGAAAAAGCACCGGUUAACUACGU